This 430-nucleotide ribosomal RNA is filed under the name uncultured bacterium. Its description in RNAcentral is "bacterial SSU rRNA". It matches the Rfam family "Bacterial small subunit ribosomal RNA", at positions 28 to 478 of the family's 1533-position model. The record is from RNAcentral.
GAUGAACGCUGGCGGCGCGCCUAACACAUGCAAGUCGAACGGCACCCACUCUCGGGUGGAAGCGAGUGGCGAACGGCUGAGUAACACGUGGAGAACCUGCCCCCUCCCCCGGGAUAGCCGCCCGAAAGGACGGGUAAUACCGGAUACCCCGGGGUGCCGCAUGGCACCCCGGCUAAAGCCCCGACGGGAGGGGAUGGCUCCGCGGCCCAUCAGGUAGACGGCGGGGUGACGGCCCACCGUGCCGACAACGGGUAGCCGGGUUGAGAGACCGACCGGCCAGAUUGGGACUGAGACACGGCCCAGACUCCUACGGGAGGCAGCAGUGGGGAAUCUUGCGCAAUGGGGGGAACCCUGACGCAGCGACGCCGCGUGCGGGACGGAGGCCUUCGGGUCGUAAACCGCUUUCAGCAGGGAAGGGUCAAGACUGUAC